UUAUGGACAAAAUGCUCUCUUUU
This 23-nucleotide microRNA is filed under the name Sarcophilus harrisii (Tasmanian devil). RNAcentral describes it as "Sha-Mir-7371-P29_5p* (star (passenger))". The record is from RNAcentral. Lineage: Eukaryota; Metazoa; Chordata; Mammalia; Dasyuromorphia; Dasyuridae.